RNAcentral lists this long non-coding RNA (769 nucleotides) under Rattus norvegicus (Norway rat). RNAcentral's name for it is "long non-coding RNA NONRATT029911". Lineage: Eukaryota; Metazoa; Chordata; Mammalia; Rodentia; Muridae. The record is from RNAcentral.
ACGCUCUUGAUGUGCCAGCAUGCCGGCCUGAGUUCAAUCCCCAGAAUCAAGGUAAAAAAUCAAACAUGGCUUUCCACGCUUGUAACCCUGGUGCCGAUGGGAACAGGGAGCCAAGAUAGGAGCAUCAGCGAAGUUUACUGCCUGGCCAGUCUAGCCAAUAUGGUAGCCCCCAGGUUCAGUUAGAGACACUGCCUAUGAAUACAUACACAUACAUACAUACAUACAUACAUACAUACAUACAUUCAUUCAUACAUACAUGCAUACAUUCUGCAGACCCAUACAUAGACCCAUGCAAAGCCCUCAAUAUAGAAGAUACCUUUCUCCCUUUCAAGUGUCUACUUUGCCCUGUUGAUGGCCACACAGAAUCUCUCGUGUGCCACUGCACCUGCUGGUUCACACCGAAGAUCAUCACUCUUUUGAGUUCCCCGUGCACACAGCACUUUCCUUUAGGUACCCAACCAAGCACCCGGAGGAAUUACAAACUCCCAUGAGAACAGAAAAUAUUGCCUUCAGGUGUCAGGGUAAGGACUACUACUAAAUCUACCCCAAACCACCCCACUCAGGGUUUACGCAGGGAAGAACCCGUGCGUCUGGGUUCUCCAUUACCCCUGUGUCAGUUACUCACUCUGGCCUCUAGGGGGCUCCCCAGGAACACGGACAAGGAGCCAUCGUCUCCGUUCUUUCAUCCAGGAUUCUAAAUGUGAACUAAUGGAUGCAGUUUGGUAACCCACAAAAGUAACGCCACACGUUCUGGAGGAGAAGACGUAUC